CGUGAGAUGUUGGGUUAAAGUCCCGCAACGAGCGCAACCCCUAUCCUUUGUUGCCAGCACGCAAUGGUGGGAACUCAAAGGAGACUGCCGCGGACAAACGCGGAGGAAGGCGGGGAUGACGUCAAGUCAUCAUGCCCCUUAUGUCCUGGGCUACACACGUACUACAAUGGGAUGGACAGAGAGCAGCGAAGCCGCGAGGCCAAGCGAACCCCAUAAACCAUCUCCCAGUUCGGAUUGCAGGCUGCAACCCGCCUGCA
This 257-nucleotide ribosomal RNA is filed under the name uncultured bacterium. Its description in RNAcentral is "partial 16S ribosomal RNA". It matches the Rfam family "Bacterial small subunit ribosomal RNA", at positions 1066 to 1320 of the family's 1533-position model. The record is from RNAcentral.